Molecule: ribosomal RNA, 465 nt
Filed under: uncultured bacterium
Lineage: Bacteria
Description: partial 16S ribosomal RNA
Rfam family: Bacterial small subunit ribosomal RNA
Source: RNAcentral
GACGAACGCUGGCGGCGUGCUUAACACAUGCAAGUCGAACGGAAAGGCCCUGCUUGCAGGGUACUCGAGUGGCGAACGGGUGAGUAACACGUGGGUGAUCUGCCCUGCACUUCGGGAUAAGCCGGGGAAACUGGGUCUAAUACCGGAUAGGAGCCAUUUUUAGUGUGAUGGUUGGAAAGUUUUUUCGGUGUAGGAUGAGCUCGCGGCCUAUCAGCUUGUUGGUGGGGUAAUGGCCUACCAAGGCGGCGACGGGUAGCCGGCCUGAGAGGGUGGACGGCCACAUUGGGACUGAGAUACGGCCCAGACUCCUACGGGAGGCAGCAGUGGGGAAUAUUGCACAAUGGGCGCAAGCCUGAUGCAGCGACGCCGCGUGGGGGAUGACGGCCUUCGGGUUGUAAACUCCUUUCGCUAGGGACGAAGCUUUUUGUGACGGUACCUAGAUAAGAAGCACCGGCUAACUACGUG